This 491-nucleotide ribosomal RNA is filed under the name uncultured bacterium. RNAcentral describes it as "partial 16S ribosomal RNA". It matches the Rfam family "Bacterial small subunit ribosomal RNA", at positions 29 to 506 of the family's 1533-position model. The record is from RNAcentral.
AGUGAACGCUGGCGGUAGGCCUAACACAUGCAAGUCGAACGGCAGCACAGUAAGAGCUUGCUCUUACGGGUGGCGAGUGGCGGACGGGUGAGGAAUACAUCGGAAUCUACUUUUUCGUGGGGGAUAACGUAGGGAAACUUACGCUAAUACCGCAUACGACCUACGGGUGAAAGCAGGGGAUCUUCGGACCUUGCGCGAUUGAAUGAGCCGAUGUCGGAUUAGCUAGUUGGCGGGGUAAAGGCCCACCAAGGCGACGAUCCGUAGCUGGUCUGAGAGGAUGAUCGGCCACACGGGAACUGAGAAACGGUCCAGACUCCUACGGGAGGCAGAGGGGGGGAAUAUUGGCCAAUGGGCGCAAGCCUGAUCCAGCCAUACCGCGGGGGUGAAGAAGGCCUUCGGGUUGUAAAGCCCUUUUGUUGGGAAAGAAAAGCAGCAGGUUAAUACCCCGCUGUUCUGACGGUACCCAAAGAAUAAGCACCGGCUAACUUCGU